GGUUGCUUUUGUUUGUGACCGGCAUUCUGUCUUCGGGGACGAAGGCAGUGCUAAAAGAAUAUACAACGCUCAUUCGACUGAAACAUGUCUAAACUACAGUCAUUGUGUGAUAUUUUAAAUUAUCACUUAAAGGUGGCUGCUGUGGAGAAUUUAGGAGCAGUUGAGAAAAAGGUAGCUGAGUAACUUACAAGGUCGGAGAUGAAUGGUCGGCUACUGAAACAGCUCCGGGUUAGACUGGAGGUAAAACUAUGCGGAAUAGACUCCCUGCAGCUCUCUGUCUCUGAAGAGGAGGUUCCCCCUGAGCAGCAGGACUGUGAGCAGGAGUGGAGCCCCAGUCUGGGGCAGGAUAAACUCUUGUGGCAGAUGCUUGUAACAUAAAUGAUUAAGGACAGGAGGACAAACAUGGAGCAGCCACUGUCUCCUGGGGGAAAACACGGAUUUGCCAACAACCCCGGUAUCCAAAGGGCUGGAAGAAGAAUGGUGUCGAAUGUGUUGAUGUGUUGAGUACAUUUGAUGCAAUAACGAAGAAGAAUGGUGUCGAAUGUGUUGAUGUACAUUUGAUGCAAUAACGAAGAAGAAUGAUUUUCUUUUAGGGAAAGAUUAUUCAAUAAAAACUGACUACACCUCUGCCUUGGAGGAGCUGAUUGGUCCCGUAACCGUUGUCGAUAACCUGACAUCUGUCUGUAGUAACUGCAAAGGUCUGCUCUCCCAGUAUCACAGCUGUAACGCAGAUGCUCAGAGAAUCACUCGUCUGGUGAAAAACAUGACAAGGGAGCUUACAGUCGGAUUUAAAAGGUGCACCACGUCUACUGAGAAAUCGACGGAGAGGAAAAAGGCCACACUCUGUCACUUCUGUCCGCUGCAAGACAGAUUGGCUCUGCAUGAAGAAAUCUGAUUCAUUCUGCAUCCGUCCCAUCAUCAACAUCAUCAACCACUGUGACUGCACCGACCACACCAACUCCUGCAAUGUGGUCUCCAGAAACCAUAAAGGUUAGUAUCAAUGUUCUAUCUGUCAAUAAAAUGUAUUGUGCAGCGUAGAGCCCUUCUCCAAAGAACUAACCAGAGCCUGUAUCCACAAAGCCUGUCAGUAAGAGUGCUGAUCUAGGAAUAGUUUCUUUUUAGCUCAUAAUGAAUUAGAUUAUAUGGACAGGUUAGGACCUGAUCCUAGAUCAGCAUUCUAACUCCGAGGAUCUUUGUGGAUAUGGGUCCAGCUGACAGUUGUGCUGUAGUUAAAUGUUGGUGUUUGUGUAAUUAUCUAGCUUGUUAUUGUCUUCAACGGUACUGUGUAUAUGUACAGCAGCGUUGGGUUCGAUUCCAUUUCAAAUCAAACCAAAUUCCGACUCAAAAUGUUCUUUGUUGAAGAGCAUUUUAAUUCCUGUGUACUUCCUGAAUUGACUGGCGUUGAAAUGGGAUUGAUCCCAACCCUGCUGUAGCUAUGUGCCUCUAUUUCCUUGACUGUGUCCAUUUCAUAAUACUGUCUGUAUAACCUGUAGUACAGGGGUGUCAAACUCAUUCCAUGGAGGGCCGAGUGUCGGUUUUUCCUUUUUAUGAACCUCUGCGGGAUCGGUGUCCCUAUACCGGGACAGUUGAGCUAACAUGCGCUAAUGUGAUUAG
Long non-coding RNA from Oncorhynchus kisutch (coho salmon), 1614 nucleotides. RefSeq lists it as uncharacterized. The transcript is spliced from 3 exons. NCBI's taxonomy places the organism in Eukaryota, Metazoa, Chordata, Actinopteri, Salmoniformes, Salmonidae. The record is from RefSeq and is a predicted model, not a curated record.